AGCAUUUGUGUGGUUUUUCUUGUUGAGCUCGUGGACAAAGACUUAAAAGGCGGAUGCUAAACAAGCACUCUUUUGUAACCAGGAUUCAUUGUUCUGUGUGCGUUUUGGCAUGUGCAAGAAGAAAUAUA
Molecule: small nucleolar RNA, 128 nt
Organism: Arvicola amphibius (Eurasian water vole)
Lineage: Eukaryota; Metazoa; Chordata; Mammalia; Rodentia; Cricetidae
Product: small nucleolar RNA SNORA40
Exons: 1
Source: RefSeq, a predicted model, not a curated record